Molecule: unclassified non-coding RNA, 343 nt
Filed under: soil metagenome
Description: partial contains 5.8S ribosomal RNA, internal transcribed spacer 2, and large subunit ribosomal RNA
Rfam family: 5.8S ribosomal RNA (bases 1-118)
Source: RNAcentral
UGAAGAACGUAGCGAAAUGCGAUAGGUAAUGUGAAUUGCAGAAUUCAGUGAAUCAUCGAAUCUUUGAACGCACAUUGCGCCCCCUGGUAUUCCGGGGGGCAUGCCUGUCCGAGCGUCAUUGCUGCCCUCAAGCACGGCUUGUGUGUUGGGCCUCCGUCCUCCUCCCGGGGGACGGGCCCGAAAGGCAGCGGCGGCACCGCGUCCGGUCCUCGAGCGUAUGGGGCUUCGUCACCCGCUCUUGUAGGCCCGGCCGGCGCUUGCCGACACAUCAAUCUUUUUUCCAGGUUGACCUCGGAUCAGGUAGGGAUACCCGCUGAACUUAAGCAUAUCAAUAAGCGGAGGA